GGCAGCAGUGGGGAAUAUUGCACAAUGGGCGCAAGCCUGAUGCAGCCAUGCCGCGUGUAUGAAGAAGGCCUUCGGGUUGUAAAGUACUUUCAGCAGUGAGGAAGGUGGGUAUGUUAAUAGCAUAUUCAUUUGACGUUAGCUGCAGAAGAAGCACCGGCUAACUCCGUGCCAGCAGCCGCGGUAAUACGGAGGGUGCGAGCGUUAAUCGGAAUUACUGGGCGUAAAGCGCAUGCAGGUGGUUUGUUAAGUCAGAUGUGAAAGCCCGGGGCUCAACCUCGGAAUUGCAUUUGAAACUGGCAAACUAGAGUACUGUAGAGGGGGUAGAAUUUCAGGUGUAGCGGUGAAAUGCGUAGAGAUCUGAAGGAAUACCGGUGGCGAAGGCGGCCCCCUGGACAGAUACUGACACUCAGAUGCGAAAGCGUGGGGAGCAAACAGGAUUAGAUACCCUGGUAG
RNAcentral lists this ribosomal RNA (453 nucleotides) under uncultured bacterium. RNAcentral describes it as "bacterial SSU rRNA". It matches the Rfam family "Bacterial small subunit ribosomal RNA", at positions 347 to 793 of the family's 1533-position model. The record is from RNAcentral.